GACAAACCAGAAGCUCAGCUAUAAAAGGGGCAGAUUCAUGUAGAUCGACUGAGACUCCACAACCUACAGACCUCAGCUCACUCUGUUGGACACCCGGGUCUUGGAUUCCGACCGCUGAAGAUGAAGUACCUCACUCUGCUUCUUGUGCUGUCGUUGGUCGUCCUCAUGGCCGAACCCAGCGACGCUAACCCCCGUUUUACUCGCCCGGACAACCUUUACGUUCCGUCGAAGAUCUGCCGGCCCAUCGGGGAAGGGAAGCAGGACCAACUCGCCGCUCAACGCGCAUACGACGAAGAACAGGUUGCCGUUCGCUGAAACGACCUGAAAACAUCUACGAAAACAAACCUGAAGGAACGGGCUUCAAACCAUAUAUGAGACGAAAAGAAACGCUUCUGGCUACAUAAUAAAAUAAUGUAAUGUUACUAUUCUGAGUGAUGGAACUGGGUAGAAAAUAAAGCAGCUUUUGACCUGAACUCCAAA
Molecule: long non-coding RNA, 480 nt
Organism: Sphaeramia orbicularis (orbiculate cardinalfish)
Lineage: Eukaryota; Metazoa; Chordata; Actinopteri; Kurtiformes; Apogonidae
Exons: 4
Source: RefSeq, a predicted model, not a curated record